This 424-nucleotide long non-coding RNA is filed under the name Rosa chinensis. RNAcentral's name for it is "sRNA RchiOBHm_Chr5g0011121". The record is from RNAcentral. Lineage: Eukaryota; Viridiplantae; Streptophyta; Magnoliopsida; Rosales; Rosaceae.
GUGCCGAGCUAUUGCUCGAUGACGGAACACAAAUGCGUGAUCGUCGGAAUAGUAUUUUUGUAGGCGAAUUGGUUGAGGUCGGGCGUACACGGAGUUGAGGCAUAGUCAACAGCAUAGCUUCCGCGGUUGCCUUUGAGUUAGGUUGUCCUUAUUUACCUUUCUAUUAGAAUUGCUCUGAUUACCUAUGGGAUUUAUGUUUUUCAAGUUGAGGUUUGUGUUUUGUGAAGUGGAGAUUGAUGUUGAGUUGGGGAGCAGGGUGGCUCCAGAAGUAUAAGGAUGAUUUGAUUUAGAAGUGUAAAUGCUUUCUACAGGUUUUGGGUAGCCCAUUUUAGGGGAAGUUCCGCCAAAUUUUUGGUAGAAUUUCUUCUAAGGUGGGCCCCGCAGGGCCACUUCGGAUUUCAGGGUGAAAUCUGGGGCGGGUCUU